AUCGAAUUCUUACUACCACUUUUAAGACUACAACAACUUGCAGUAGAGAAGCGUGUUCAUGAGUUUUGGCUCACUGCUAUGAAGAAAAAUGAAGUACUCGCAAAGGAAAUCAGAGAGUGGGAUGAAGGUCCACUCAAGCAUCUGAAAGAUAUCAAGUGGUCCAGGACUGGUACAGCCAAGGGGUUCAAGCUCAGUUUCUAUUUUCAUGAUGACAAUCCCUAUUUCCAUAAUGCUGUCCUCACAAAAAUUUAUCACAUGACAAAAGCUCAUCACACGUUUGAUCUAAUUUUGGAAAACGUAGAAUCAAUUUUACAUGGAAACAGGUAGGGAAGAAGCUAAAGCAUCGAUCAAAUUGCUGGGUAUCAAAUGACUGGACUAUGAAGUUCCAUAUCUAUGAAAGUUUCUUCAAUUUUUCUAAUGCCACUCUAGUCCCUGAGGAUGACGAUAUUGAAAAAACAGUUGAAGAACUUCAGAAUGCAAUUGAUAAAGACUACCUUGUUGGUUGCACCAUCCGUGACCAGAUCAUCCCACGAGCUGUGUUGUGGUUCACUGGAGAAGCUGCCCUGGUUGAAUAGAAGAAGUUCUGCUGAAACCCAAAUUCUGAUGUUCCUUGUUUUUGCUUACUUUUUUUCCCCAUCUUUGAUAACAUGACAACUUCCAGCCUAUCAUCCUAUGUAGUUCAUCGUUGUUCUUGGUUAUGCGUAUAUUUACUCUAAAAAAAGGGCUUUU
This is a long non-coding RNA of Papaver somniferum (opium poppy), 729 nucleotides long. RefSeq lists it as uncharacterized. NCBI's taxonomy places the organism in Eukaryota, Viridiplantae, Streptophyta, Magnoliopsida, Ranunculales, Papaveraceae. The record is from RefSeq and is a predicted model, not a curated record. The transcript is spliced from 5 exons.